This 253-nucleotide ribosomal RNA is filed under the name uncultured bacterium. RNAcentral's name for it is "partial 16S ribosomal RNA". It matches the Rfam family "Bacterial small subunit ribosomal RNA", at positions 524 to 776 of the family's 1533-position model. The record is from RNAcentral.
UACGUAGGGCGCAAGCGUUGUCCGGAAUCAUUGGGCGUAAAGAGCUCGUAGGCGGCCUGUUGCGUCCGCUGUGAAAUCCCGGGGCUUAACCCCGGGCGUGCAGUGGAUACGGGCUGGCUGGAGGCAGGCAGGGGAGAACGGAAUUCCCGGUGUAGCGGUGAAAUGCGCAGAUAUCGGGAGGAACACCGGUGGCGAAGGCGGUUCUCUGGGCCUGUACUGACGCUGAGGGGCGAAAGCGUGGGGAGCGAACAGG